UAGGGUGCAAGCGUUAAUCGGAAUUACUGGGCGUAAAGGGUGCGCAGGCGGCUUGGAAAGAACGGUGUGAAAUCCCGGGGCUCAACCCCGGAACUGCACUAUUAACUAUCAAGCUAGAGUAUGUCAGAGGGGGGUGGAAUUCCGCGUGUAGCAGUGAAAUGCGUAGAUAUGCGGAGGAACACCAAUGGCGAAGGCAGCCCCCUGGGAUAAUACUGACGCUCAGGCACGAAAGCGUGGGUAGCAAA
This 245-nucleotide ribosomal RNA is filed under the name uncultured bacterium. RNAcentral's name for it is "partial 16S ribosomal RNA". It matches the Rfam family "Bacterial small subunit ribosomal RNA", at positions 528 to 772 of the family's 1533-position model. The record is from RNAcentral.